RNAcentral lists this transfer RNA (77 nucleotides) under bacterium. RNAcentral describes it as "tRNA-Gly". It matches the Rfam family "tRNA". Rfam says of the family: Transfer RNA (tRNA) molecules are approximately 80 nucleotides in length. The record is from RNAcentral. RNAcentral also lists the same sequence under 9 other names.
GCGGGAAUAGCUCAGUUGGCUAGAGCACGAGCCUUCCAAGCUCGGGGUCGCGGGUUCGAAUCCCGUUUCCCGCUCCA